This 497-nucleotide ribosomal RNA is filed under the name uncultured bacterium. RNAcentral describes it as "partial 16S ribosomal RNA". It matches the Rfam family "Bacterial small subunit ribosomal RNA", at positions 28 to 507 of the family's 1533-position model. The record is from RNAcentral.
GAUGAACGCUGGCGGCGUGCCUAAUACAUGCAAGUCGAGCGAACGGACGAGAAGCUUGCUUCUCUGAUGUUAGCGGCGGACGGGUGAGUAACACGUGGAUAACCUACCUAUAAGACUGGGAUAACUUCGGGAAACCGGAGCUAAUACCGGAUAAUAUUUUGAACCGCAUGGUUCAAAAGUGAAAGACGGUCUUGCUGUCACUUAUAGAUGGAUCCGCGCUGCAUUAGCUAGUUGGUAAGGUAACGGCUUACCAAGGCAACGAUGCAUAGCCGACCUGAGAGGGUGAUCGGCCACACUGGAACUGAGACACGGUCCAGACUCCUACGGGAGGCAGCAGUAGGGAAUCUUCCGCAAUGGGCGAAAGCCUGACGGAGCAACGCCGCGUGAGUGAUGAAGGUCUUCGGAUCGUAAAACUCUGUUAGUAGGGAAGAACAUAUGUGUAAGUAACUGUGCACAUCUUGACGGUACCUAAUCAGAAAGCCACGGCUAACUCCGUG